This 225-nucleotide ribosomal RNA is filed under the name Azoarcus sp. RNAcentral's name for it is "partial 23S ribosomal RNA". It matches the Rfam family "Bacterial large subunit ribosomal RNA", at positions 2706 to 2925 of the family's 2925-position model. Lineage: Bacteria; Pseudomonadati; Pseudomonadota; Betaproteobacteria; Rhodocyclales; Zoogloeaceae. The record is from RNAcentral.
CCGCUGGUGCACCGGUUGUGACGCCAGUCGCAUCGCCGGGUAGCUAAGUGCGGAAGAGAUAACCGCUGAAAGCAUCUAAGCGGGAAACUCGCCUCAAGAUGAGACUUCCCUGGAGGUUCAACCUCCCUGAAGGGUCGCGGAAGACCACCGCGUUGAUAGGCGGGGUGUGGAAGCGUGGCAACACGUUGAGCUAACCCGUACUAAUUGCCCGUGAGGCUUGAUCCU